RNAcentral lists this ribosomal RNA (253 nucleotides) under uncultured bacterium. RNAcentral describes it as "partial 16S ribosomal RNA". It matches the Rfam family "Bacterial small subunit ribosomal RNA", at positions 524 to 776 of the family's 1533-position model. The record is from RNAcentral.
UACGUAGGGUGCGAGCGUUGUCCGGAAUUAUUGGGCGUAAAGGGCUCGCAGGCGGUUUGUCGCGUCGGGAGUGAAAACCUUGGGCUUAACUCAGGGCUUGCUUUCGAUACGGGCAGACUAGAGGUAUGCAGGGGAGAACGGAAUUCCUGGUGUAGCGGUGAAAUGCGCAGAUAUCAGGAGGAACACCGGUGGCGAAGGCGGUUCUCUGGGCAUUACCUGACGCUGAGGAGCGAAAGUGUGGGGAGCGAACAGG